Molecule: ribosomal RNA, 488 nt
Filed under: uncultured bacterium
Lineage: Bacteria
Description: partial 16S ribosomal RNA
Rfam family: Bacterial small subunit ribosomal RNA
Source: RNAcentral
GACGAACGCUGGCGGCGUGCUUAACACAUGCAAGUCGAACGGAAAGGCCCCCACCUUGGUGGGGGUGCUCGAGUGGCGAACGGGUGAGUAACACGUGGGUGAUCUGCCCUGUACUUCGGGAUAAGCUUGGGAAACUGGGUCUAAUACCGGAUAGGACCAUGGUUUAGUGUCUCAUGGUGGAAAAAUAUUGUUUUGGUGCAGGAUGAGCUCGCGGCCUAUCAGCUUGUUGGUGGGGUAAUGGCCUACCAAGGCGUCGACGGGUAGCCGGCCUGAGAGGGUGGACGGCCACAUUGGGACUGAGAUACGGCCCAGACUCCUACGGGAGGCAGCGGUGGGGAAUCUUGCACAAUGGGCGCAAGCCUGAUGCAGCGACGCCGCGUGGGGGAUGACGGCCUUCGGGUUGUAAACUCCUUUCGUUAGGGACGAAGCCACACCUUUUUUGGGUGUGGUGACGGUACCUUUGUUAAGAAGCACCGGCUAACUACGUG